UACAGAGGUCCCGAGCGUUGUUCGGAUUCAUUGGGCGUAAAGGGUGCGUAGGCGGCGGGGCAAGUCUGAUGUGAAAUCCCGGGGCUCAACCCCGGAACUGCAUUGGAUACUGCCUUGCUAGAGUACUGGAGAGGGAACUGGAAUUUACGGUGUAGCAGUGAAAUGCGUAGAGAUCGUAAGGAAGGCCAGUGGCGAAGGCGAGUUCCUGGACAGUUACUGACGCUCAGGCACGAAAGCAUGGGGAGCAAAAGGG
RNAcentral lists this ribosomal RNA (253 nucleotides) under uncultured bacterium. RNAcentral describes it as "partial 16S ribosomal RNA". It matches the Rfam family "Bacterial small subunit ribosomal RNA", at positions 524 to 776 of the family's 1533-position model. The record is from RNAcentral.